This 852-nucleotide ribosomal RNA is filed under the name uncultured bacterium. RNAcentral's name for it is "bacterial SSU rRNA". It matches the Rfam family "Bacterial small subunit ribosomal RNA", at positions 28 to 896 of the family's 1533-position model. The record is from RNAcentral.
GAUGAACGCUGGCGGCGUGCCUAACACAUGCAAGUCGAACGUGAGGGUAUACUUGUAUACCUGAAAGUGGCGAACGGGUGAGUAAAACGUGGGUGACCUGCCUCGCAGUGGGGGAUAACCAUUGGAAACGGUGGCUAAUACCGCAUGGGUCUAGACAAGUGGGAACUUGAGUAGAUAAAGCUUAAUGUGCUGCGAGAGGGGCCUGCGUCCGAUUAGCUAGUUGGUGGGGUAACGGCCUACCAAGGCAGUGAUCGGUAGCUGGUCUGAGAGGAUGAUCAGCCACACGGGAACUGAGAGACGGUCCCGACUCCUACGGGGGGCAGCAGUGAGGAAUAUUGGACAAUGGGGGAAACCCUGAUCCAGCAACGCCGCGUGGAGGAUGAAGGUCUUUGGAUUGUAAACUCCUUUUCUUGGGGAAGAGCAAGGACGGUACCCGAGGAAUAAGUCAUGGCUAACUACGUGCCAGCAGCCGCGGUAAUACGUAGGUGGCGAGCGUUAUCCGGAAUUACUGGGCGUAAAGCGCACGCAGGCGGUUCGGCAAGUCUGACGUGAAAGCUCCUGGCUUAACUGGGAGAGGUCGUUGGAAACUGCUGGGCUUGAGGCAAUGAGAGGGGUGUAGAAUUCCCGGUGUAGUGGUGGAAUGCGUAGAUAUCGGGAGGAAUACCAGUGGCGAAAGCGGCACCCUGGCAUUGGCCUGACGCUCAUGUGCGAAAGCGUGGGGAGCGAACGGGAUUAGAUACCCCGGUAGUCCACGCCGUAAACGAUGAGCACUAGGUGUGGGUGGUGUGAAAACUAUCUGUGCCGAAGUCAACGCGCUAAGUGCUCCGCCUGGGGAGUACGGCCGCAAGGCUA